Molecule: long non-coding RNA, 570 nt
Organism: Pristis pectinata (smalltooth sawfish)
Lineage: Eukaryota; Metazoa; Chordata; Chondrichthyes; Rhinopristiformes; Pristidae
Exons: 3
Source: RefSeq, a predicted model, not a curated record
GUAUGAACAUGAGUUACAUGAAUGGUUCCUGAGGAUACCUCAGAGGACAUUAGUCCAAGCCCUAUAGUUUUAGUGCUUUUAAAGACCAAACAUUGACACAACCUUCUCCAAAUCAUUCAGAUUUACAGCACAGAGGGAUGACAUUCAGCCCCUUGAAUCCAUCCUGGCCAUCAAAGAACCAUCCAGCCUUCCCCUACUUCCAGCUCUUGGUUCAAGGACAACUACUUCCCUUCAACCAUUUGGUUCCUGAACCAACUUGCACAACCCUAAUCACUACCUCAGUAAUAGCAACCCACUGACCACUUCGCAGUCCGAUGGACUUUGUUUUUUUUGUUCUAAUUUCGCUCUUUCUUGUAUAAUUUUGUAUAUGUUGGAUUUAUGCUUUUCCCAUGAAUGUUGGUUCUCUAAUGCUAUGUGCCUGUGAUGCUGUUGCAUGCAAGUUUUUCAUUGCACCUGUGCAUACAUGUACUAAUGCAUAUGACAAUAAACUCACCUUUGACUUUGAAGGUAUUUUACUUAAACAAUUGUUAUCUCUCAGAAAAUCUGAGACAGAUUUAUCCAUUGUUAUUU